UGGUGGAGUGAUUUGUCUGGUUAAUUCCGAUAACGAACGAGACCCCGUCCUACUUACUAGACUUGAGAUGAUUUUCAUCUCUUGAAUCUUCUUAGAGGGACUACUGGCGUAAAUCUAGCUACAUGAAAUGGGGCAAUAACA
RNAcentral lists this ribosomal RNA (141 nucleotides) under uncultured eukaryote. RNAcentral's name for it is "partial 18S ribosomal RNA". It matches the Rfam family "Eukaryotic small subunit ribosomal RNA", at positions 1299 to 1458 of the family's 1831-position model. The record is from RNAcentral.